This 59-nucleotide transfer RNA is filed under the name Euphaedusa planostriata. Its description in RNAcentral is "tRNA-Asp". Lineage: Eukaryota; Metazoa; Mollusca; Gastropoda; Stylommatophora; Clausiliidae. The record is from RNAcentral.
AUUUAGUUUAAUUCAAAACUAUAGCUUGUCAAGUUAUAAAUGUAAAGUUUUAUUACAGU